Gadus morhua (Atlantic cod) is the source of this 4645-nucleotide long non-coding RNA. Lineage: Eukaryota; Metazoa; Chordata; Actinopteri; Gadiformes; Gadidae. The record is from Ensembl.
CACCUGCCACCAAGACCAGCAAACUGUGUGACAUGUUGGGUUUUUUGUAUAUUCCAGUUUCUCUUCUAGACACGAGAUGCAUUUGACAACCUGCAAGGCACCACACACACAGGGCUUCAGCGGUCCAUUGAGGGGCUCUACCUCAGUGUGAGGCAGCGGAAGCUAAAUCUGUACCGUCAGAAUGUUCUGUCAAGAGCCUUCACCCAUCUACUUCAUGUCAUUCUAGACAGCAACAAGCUUCGCCACCGGCUUCGGAGGAAGCUGGCAGAAGAGAAAAAGCUCCUUUUUCAGGAGAUACAAAAGCACAACAAGCUUGACUCUGCAGCCAACAUCGAUGCAGCUGUGGUGGAGCACUCCCUGAGUGGAGAGAGCACUGUGUCCCCAAUAUGGCCUUGGGAGGUUCAUGACAGCGCAAACAUUGGAACCAAGAAACGGCUUCAUGACCAAGUCAUGACAACAAAGCGACUGCAGGAGGAAAAAAACAUUCUGGUGAUGGAGAUGGCACAACACUGCACAUGGUUGCAGAACCUGGCAUUGGUUCUCAAAAACAAGGUGGCUGAGUCGGGUGGAGAGUCUGGAGACAAAGGAGCUGAAGGACUUUGCAGUCUCUUGAGGAGAAGAAACACAGAGGUGUCAGAGGGGUUGCAAGUGGUCCUGCAAAAAUACAAGACUGCUUUAGGUCCUGAGGCCUCUGUCAUUCAAAAUAUUGAAGAGGAAGACCAAAGUGUCCACAGCAGUCCAGACACCAGUGAGGAUGAAGAGGAAAGCAUAAUUUAGAUUGAAGCUGCACUGAGGAUGGACUAAGGAAAUGGACUUGCCUAGAAAGCACUAAUGUGAUAAAACAUGCAUUCGGGCGUCUUAUAUUAUUUCACACGCAUAGAUAUUAACUUGGCACUAUGGGGGAGGGAACCAAGGAAGGCAGGCUUUCCUAUGAUUGGCCGUUCUGAAGCGCGAUAUUUGAUUGACAGCCCUCCUCAGCCCGAAUUCAGCCAAGGGUUUCUUACUUGAAGGGACCUUCGCCCAGACGUGAUUGUCUUCUGAGUUUCAGCCAUUGACUACAAUACAGAAUGAAUGAGAGGAGGGCUGAGGAAGGCUCUCAAUCAAAUAUCGUGCUUCAGAAACAGCCAAUCACAGGAAAGCACGCCCUGCCUUGAUUCCCUCCCACAUAGUGCCAAAAUUAAAUUUGAGCGAGAGAGCAUAACAUCAUUCGCGAGAGGCUGUUUUGUAUGACCAAAGUUAUUCCCCCCUCUCGCUUGCAACGAGGUAAUGCUCUCGAGGAUCUUUUUUCCUGGCUCGGGGAGCUGCGCUCUGAGUGCGGACGUGCGCACAGAUAAUUUGGGCGCUCGCAGUUAACCUCUACGUGUAUGAAAUAAUAUAAUACGCCCGAAUGCAUGUUUUAUCCCAUUAGUGCUUUAUGGCACUAAUGUGUCGCCAUACUCAACCGCUUAUCCUGGCAACUUCACACCUGACACUGCACCCUUGGGUCUUCUGCAAUACACCCACCAAGUGUAAAAUAAAUCAGAUGAACACUACUAACUGCUUCCUGUCAACUGACAGCAGUCAGCUGACCGUCAUUACAUCGCUGUAGCACGUGAACAUUCAUUGGUGCCAUACUUGACAGCUCUCCACACAGUUACAUAGCAUUGUGGUGAAUGUUCAGACCACUGUUUCAUCUCUCCCCUUCCAGCGUCACAGAUUAUCAAUCUUGGUGAUGGAGGCACUAGCAUUUUGGUGUGUUAUUUAGUUAAUGUGUGUAAAAGAUGACUUCCUCAAAUGUCUUGUUUUGUUCGGAAUUCAAAGAUAUUCAGUUGACAGAAUAUAUAGAAGUAUAAAGAAACCAGAAAAUAUUACAUUUGAGAAUCUGGAAUCUGAUCAUUUUGAAUUUUUUUAUUUUUCAAAAAAUGAAAAAGUGAUUAAUCGUUCAUCCAAACAGUUGGUUAUUAAUUAAAAUCAAAUAGUUGCAUGUCAUGUAAAAUGUAAAUCAAGGAGAACGACCAUUUUGAUUGAUAGGGUGGCGUGACUAAGUAUGUAUACAUAUAAUAUGUAUGUAAUAUGCAUUAGACUGUAUGUAACAAAGAGACAGUUGUAUAGUUAAUAUAGGUACGUACAGUAUAACUGGAUUACAUGUUCUGUUGUCAGUGCUUAUGUAAAGCUAACCCUACAGUCCAUUUUUAAGAAAUACAGCCCAAAUUGUUUGUGUGUUGGACAGAUCCAUUUGGUGCAUUUUCUCCAGUAUUGUUGCAAAAGAUGAAUACAUUAUUGCCAAAAAUGACCAUUUUUUGUUUUACUUUUCCAUCAUGUUUAGAAACAUCAUGUGACAGUUUUGUGUUUUAUAAAAAAAGAUAGCCUAUCAAGAGAAAAUAUGGGAAACAAACAUAAAUAAUGCAUAAUUAAUUAUAUUUUGAAUUGAGUUAAAUUUAACAUCACAUACAUUAUUAUUUAUGUGGAUUACAUCAAUUAACUGAUCUCCUUGUGAUAUAUUUCACCCAAAUCAUCUAUAUGCAGAAUAAUGUAGCCUAUGUUUUACUUGUAGAUUUUUGAUUCAGUAAAGAUUCAUUUUCCUAAACUUAAUUACAACCCUCCUCUUGGUGUAAGAACUACAAGUAUCCCUUCUAACUUGUAUGGUUCCUAAAAUUUCAAAGGAACGAUUGUAAUGGGCAUUGUAUUUUUAAAUACAUUGUAUUCCCCAUGAUUAGAAGUUUGCAGGAUUAAACUGGAUGAUAACAUUGUAAUUAAUAACAUUACAAUGUUACAUAUAAAUGUAGUAUUGUUCAGUACUAUAUUGGGUAUAUAUUAUGUUCUAUGAUACUUAAAUACUAAACCUAAAUUGUCAUGUUAAUAUCAAAUUGAAGUUGGGGUUGACUGACGUCUUGAAAACCUUGGGGGGUGUUCACUAGCCAGUAAGGCUAUUGCUAGUUAUCUGCGACUGCUGUCGAUUAUUAAUCCAUCCUACUGCAGGUAUACUGAACUAAAUGGUUUUGUUUGGAAGCCACACCAUAUUAAAACCAAAUUAUAAAUCACAUUUACACUUUAUAGCAGGAAAAUAGAUCGAAGGAUGAGGUCUGAAAGAUAUGUUUUGAAACGUUGCUUAAUACGUUACGCCAUUGAACACACACCUUUCUGUCGGCGAGAUAGAGCAGCAGGAAAAACAUAAAAAAAGCACUCAUAAAUGUAUAUAUAUUACCUUUUUCAUAAAAUAUAUCUACUCACGAUAUAAACAUAUACGUUAUGGUCAUACUUUUAAGAACUGUUACUGUUAAGAAUUGGAGUGGAUAUAUGAUUUCGGAACCCUAAUGUCAACAUAUUAACCCUAAACCGGAAGGAGGAUACCAGAACUACAAUUUGUCCCGAGUUAUAGUGUGCUGUGUCAUAGCUAUUGUAGUUCCAAUUAAUUAUCUCUAAUAUGUAAAACUGGGAUCACGAACGUUGCAAGCUCAUUCUAUGUUUUUAAGGGUGGGAAGCACGCCUGUUUGGUCUGAUUUUAACUUUCUUAUUGGUAAGAGGGUGUAAUCAUGUUUUUUAUAGGUUUUGACCCUACUCUAUUGGUCUGCUGUCGAGUAUGAUAGUACAUGUGCAGAACUUUCCAAAACAGUUGACCCCAUGUCUGUAGCAUAUUUUGUUGUUGAACUACAAGCCUUCAAAAGUGUCACAGGUACAAGGUUCAAAGGGCACACCUGAGGAGCAGGAACCGCCCACAAAUCUCAAAUUGACAUAUGUUGCUCCCUAGGUCAAGACCUUUCCAACGAUGUCUUCACUGUUGUCCUAUGCCAAUUUUUGAUUUUCUUGUUGGUAGACUACACAUCAUGGCUGUUUGCCGUAUACAUUCAGAGACCUCUUUGAGGGCCAAGCUGGAAACAAUCACUCAAAAUCUUUUGACGGGUAUUUUGUGGCCAGAUUUAUUUAACAUAUUGAUUAUAGGAUUAUACGCAGUCAUACUAUUCAAUGUGGACCAGUUUCAAGUUUAUUUUCAACACAGUCUCAAUCCCUACUCGUCAAAUGUGUGACGCAUGGCCAAGGAUCCCUGGCGUCAAUUUGCGACGAAAAAUGGGUACCUUUUUCGUCGUUUUUCAACGCCUGAUAGACAGUCAUGCUAAUCCCUCACCGUCGGAUAUAGACGAAAGGAAAUCAAUGUCUAUCAACGGUAAUGCCGUCAGGUUAUGCAAAUAUUGUCGAUUGAUUUGUUUGACAGAUUCACCAUUAAACGUGUUUCUGGUGACAUUUCUAGUGAGAAAUUUACUUUUUCCUUGAAUAAUCUUCAGUCAGUGAAUGUGUAUGAUCUUUAUUAAUAUUUAUUAUCUGAAUGGGAAAUGCAAUAUUUUAGGAUCGAUUCACCGUUAAACGUGUUUCUAAUAACAUUUCUAGCGAGAAAUACACUUUUUACUUUCAUAAUCUUCAGUCAGUGAUUGUGUCUGAUCUUUAGUUUUAUAGUUAUUAGGAAGAUUUAAUCGUCUCGCUCGCAUGUCUCAACGACGUCAGGCUGCUAGGGACGCUGCUUUCGCUAAACUAGCAGAUCACGUGUUUCCUGCGUUUGUGUUAUUAAACUGUUACUUUAUGUAACUUUUAAUGAUAUUGUAAUAACCACAGGCGAGGUAUUGAGCGAAGUAAGCUUGAUAGCAGGUUUAUUGGAGUCCACAAUCGGACAGGC